This 223-nucleotide long non-coding RNA is filed under the name Brassica napus (rape). Its description in RNAcentral is "long non-coding RNA (BNAP_LNC010198)". The record is from RNAcentral. Lineage: Eukaryota; Viridiplantae; Streptophyta; Magnoliopsida; Brassicales; Brassicaceae.
ACACUCGUAUGUGUGAAAGGUAAAUCCUCGUGUGAAAUACAUAGGUGAUGUGGUGACCUAUGCAACUGGACCUUGAACCAAUUCGUGAAACCAUACGGGAUAAUAAAGAUCCUCAUAAUCAACCUGCAAAAAGCAGAUAUUCUUAAUUAAUAUUGAAGUAUCAAAACACUUACUUAAUUAAUCAGUGUACGAGAUAUAUUACGUACCUCUGAUUUUAACCACU